RNAcentral lists this ribosomal RNA (253 nucleotides) under uncultured bacterium. Its description in RNAcentral is "partial 16S ribosomal RNA". It matches the Rfam family "Bacterial small subunit ribosomal RNA", at positions 524 to 776 of the family's 1533-position model. The record is from RNAcentral.
UACGGAGGAUGCAAGCGUUAUCCGGAAUGAUUGGGCGUAAAGCGUCCGCAGGUGGCUGUGUAAGUCUGCUGUUAAAGAGUGAGGCUCAACCUCAUAAAGGCAGUGGAAACUACAUGGCUAGAGUGCGUUCGGGGCAGAGGGAAUUCCUGGUGUAGCGGUGAAAUGCGUAGAGAUCAGGAAGAACACCGGUGGAGAAAGCGCUCUGCUAGGCCGCAACUGACACUGAGGGACGAAAGCUAGGGGAGCGAAUGGG